Long non-coding RNA from Rhodamnia argentea, 272 nucleotides. RefSeq lists it as uncharacterized. Lineage: Eukaryota; Viridiplantae; Streptophyta; Magnoliopsida; Myrtales; Myrtaceae. The transcript is spliced from 3 exons. The record is from RefSeq and is a predicted model, not a curated record.
AUUGCCAUAUGAAACAAAAGUGUAUCGGAUCCUGCAAGGAGGAACUGGGAUUCCGAAUGUGAGAUGGUCUGGUGUUGAGGGACAUUUCAAUGUACUUGUGAUGGAUUUGUUUGGACCCAGUCUUGAACAUCUAUUUAACUUCUGUGGUAGAAAAUUUUCCUUGAAGACGGUUUUGAUGCUUGCAGAUCAAAUGAUUGAUCGAGUCGAGUUUGUUCACUCCCAGUCAUUUUUGCAUCGAGAUAUCAAGCCAGAAAAUUUCGUGAUGGGUUUGG